GUGCUGUGAGCUCGAUGAGUAGGGCGGGACACGUGGUAUCCUGUCUGAAUAUGGGGGGACCAUCCUCCAAGGCUAAAUACUCCUGACUGACCGAUAGUGAACCAGUACCGUGAGGGAAAGGCGAAAAGAACCCCGGCGAGGGGAGUGAAAAAGAACCUGAAACCGUGUACGUACAAGCAGUGGGAGCCCCACCACUAAGCCAGUGGUGAACUCCACAUACGCAUCCUUUGCUGAGGAUACGGUUAACGGAGCGAAAGCGACGUUCAACCUCAAAAGAAGCAGAGGGGGCUUAGUGGUGGGGUGACUGCGUACCUUUUGUAUAAUGGGUCAGCGACUUAUAUUCUGUAGCAAGGUUAACCGUAUAGGGGAGCCGCAGGGAAACCGAGUCUUAACCGGGCGUUAAGUUGCAGGGUAUAGACCCGAAACCCGGUGAUCUAGCCAUGGGCAGGUUGAAGGUUGGGUAACACUAACUGGAGGACCGAACCGACUAAUGUUGAAAAAUUAGCGGAUGACCUGUGGCUGGGGGUGAAAGGCCAAUCAAACCGGGAGAUAGCUGGUUCUCCCCGAAAGCUAUUUAGGUAGCGCCUCGUGAACUCAUCUCCGGGGGUAGAGCACUGUUUCGGCUAGGGGGCCAUCCCGGCUUACCAACCCGAUGCAAACUGCGAAUACCGGAGAAUGUUAUCACGGGAGACACACGGCGGGUGCUAACGUCCGUCGUGAAGAGGGAAACAACCCAGACCGCCAGCUAAGGUCCCAAAGUCAUGGUUAAGUGGGAAACGAUGUGGGAAGGCCCAGACAGCCAGGAUGUUGGCUUAGAAGCAGCCAUCAUUUAAAGAAAGCGUAAUAGCUCACUGGUCGAGUCGGCCUGCGCGGAAGAUGUAACGGGGCUAAACCAUGCACCGAAGCUGCGGCAGCGACACUAUGUGUUGUUGGGUAGGGGAGCGUUCUGUAAGCCUGUGAAGGUGGCCUGUGAGGGUUGCUGGAGGUAUCAGAAGUGCGAAUGCUGACAUAAGUAACGAUAAAGCGGGUGAAAAGCCCGCUCGCCGGAAGACCAAGGGUUCCUGUCCAACGUUAAUCGGGGCAGGGUGAGUCGACCCCUAAGGCGAGGCCGAAAGGCGUAGUCGAUGGGAAACGGGUUAAUAUUCCCGUACUUGGUGUUACUGCGAAGGGGGGACGGAGAAGGCUAUGUUGGCCGGGCGACGGUU
Molecule: ribosomal RNA, 1205 nt
Filed under: Salmonella enterica subsp. enterica serovar Poona
Lineage: Bacteria; Pseudomonadati; Pseudomonadota; Gammaproteobacteria; Enterobacterales; Enterobacteriaceae
Description: partial 23S ribosomal RNA
Rfam family: Bacterial large subunit ribosomal RNA
Source: RNAcentral